AGGAGACUCCUAAGAUAGCAGGUUCCUAUGAUGUUUUCGAUUCUUGUAGCAAACUGCAAGAUUUUUAGAGUCCUUCGUGGCCAUGAUUGAAUGAGGUGUAUAUAUUUCAAUAUGGAUGGAUCACCUGUGUUUGGGGCAUCCCAUUUUCAUAGUGGCAUGAUCUUAUUGGAUGGGUUGGAUGGAUGGACCCCACAUGAAGCUAGGUGGAUUGAGAUUCUCGUCUAAUACUAGUUGCAUGUGAGAUGUAUACAAAAUGGUCAUGGAGAGAUUUUGCUCAGAUGAGAAACAAAGAUAACUACAACAACCUUUCAACAGAGAUAACUACAAUAGUUGUCACACUCCACAAUUGUGUUAGUGUUUUCCUCUAGGAAUAACAGUGUCAAAGUUCUCAUUUACUGAUUUUAUGUUCAUGGUCCAGCGUUCAGCUAUAUGCUUACCAUCAAUAAUAUGCACAGAUGUUACAUCUGCUUGGCUGAGUAUGAUGAAGGAUAUAAAAUCAGAGUGUUGCCCUGCCGCCACGAGUACCAUAUGUUAUGUGUGGAUAAAUGGCUGAAAGAGAUACACGGGGUAUGCCCGCUCUGUCAGGGGGAUGUUUGUGCAGGAGAUGCUGGGAGCUCUAUCUCAAAUGCAUGAAAAUCCCAUUUGUAGAAACUUUAUAUAUGUGUAAGUAGCAGCAUAGCCUUGCUAUUCUAAUCUUAUCAUGUUAAAUUUCCUCUUCCUUUGUUUUUGAAUUAUAUUUCUAUCAAUAUUAUGUUUUAUCUUCCAAUUCCCAAAUCUUGUAAUUCCAUGUUGGCACACCUUAAAUAUUCACACAUCACAACCUACAUAGAAUGAUCUAAA
Molecule: long non-coding RNA, 840 nt
Organism: Magnolia sinica
Lineage: Eukaryota; Viridiplantae; Streptophyta; Magnoliopsida; Magnoliales; Magnoliaceae
Exons: 3
Source: RefSeq, a predicted model, not a curated record